Molecule: ribosomal RNA, 636 nt
Filed under: uncultured Synergistota bacterium
Lineage: Bacteria; Thermotogati; Synergistota
Description: bacterial SSU rRNA
Rfam family: Bacterial small subunit ribosomal RNA
Source: RNAcentral
AACAGUUGGAAAUGGCUGCUAAUACCCCGUAUGCCGAAAGGUAAAAGGGAGCAAUCCGCCUGAUGAGGUGCUCAUGUCCUAUCAGCUGGUUGGUGGGGUAACGGCCUACCAAGGCGACGACGGGUAGCCGGCCUGAGAGGGUGAACGGCCACACUGGAACUGAGAUACGGUCCAGACUCCUACGGGAGGCAGCAGUGGGGAAUAUUGGGCAAUGGGGGAAACCCUGACCCAGCGACGCCGCGUGAGGGAAGACGGCCUUCGGGUUGUAAACCUCUUUUGUACGGGAAGAAGGAAGUGACGGUACUGUACGAAUAAGUCCCGGCUAACUACGUGCCAGCAGCCGCGGUAAUACGUAGGGGACGAGCGUUGUCCGGAAUUACUGGGCGUAAAGGGCGCGCAGGCUGUGCUGCAAGUCAGCUGUGAAAUGUCUGGGCUUAACCCGGGCAUGCGGUUGAGACUGCAGUGCUGGAGUGCUGUAGAGGCAAGUGGAAUUCCCAGUGUAGCGGUGAAGUGCGUAGAUAUUGGGAAGAACACCGGUGGCGAAGGCGACUUGCUGGGCAGCAACUGACGCUGAGGCGCGAAAGCCAGGGGAGCAAACGGGAUUAGAUACCCCGGUAGUCCUGGCCGUAAACGAUG